RNAcentral lists this ribosomal RNA (496 nucleotides) under uncultured bacterium. RNAcentral describes it as "partial 16S ribosomal RNA". It matches the Rfam family "Bacterial small subunit ribosomal RNA", at positions 29 to 507 of the family's 1533-position model. The record is from RNAcentral.
ACGCACGCUGGCGGCGUGCCUAAUACAUGCAAGUUGAGCGCUGAAGGUUGGUACUUGUACCAACUGGAUGAGCAGCGAACGGGUGAGUAACGCGUGGGGAAUCUGCCUUUGAGCGGGGGACAACAUUUGGAAACGAAUGCUAAUACCGCAUAAAAACUUUAAACACAAGUUUUAAGUUUGAAAGAUGCAAUUGCAUCACUCAAAGAUGAUCCCGCGUUGUAUUAGCUAGUUGGUGAGGUAAAGGCUCACCAAGGCGAUGAUACAUAGCCGACCUGAGAGGGUGAUCGGCCACAUUGGGACUGAGACACGGCCCAAACUCCUACGGGAGGCAGCAGUAGGGAAUCUUCGGCAAUGGACGAAAGUCUGACCGAGCAACGCCGCGGGAGUGAAGAAGGUUUUCGGAUCGUAAAACUCUGUUGGUAGAGAAGAACGUUGGUGAGAGUGGAAAGCUCAUCAAGUGACGGUAACUACCCAGAAAGGGACGGCUAACUACGUG